UUUAGUGGCGGACGGGUGAGUAACGCGUGGGUAACCUGCCCUAUACAGGGGGAUAACAGUUGGAAGCGACUGUUAAUACCGCAUAAGCGCACAGGAGCGCAUGCUCCGGUGUGAAAAACUCCGGUGGUAUAGGAUGGACCCGCGUCUGAUUAGCUGGUUGGCGGGGUAACGGCCCACCAAGGCGACGAUCAGUAGCCGGCCUGAGAGGGUGAACGGCCACAUUGGGACUGAGACACGGCCCAAACUCCUACGGAAGGCAGCAG
Molecule: ribosomal RNA, 263 nt
Filed under: uncultured bacterium
Lineage: Bacteria
Description: partial 16S ribosomal RNA
Rfam family: Bacterial small subunit ribosomal RNA
Source: RNAcentral